CAUUCAGCCCCACCCACUGACCUUGGGGAAGAAGAGGGAGGGACUGGAAAUCGAGUUAUAAAAACUCUUGAACAAUGAGGUUGGGAGAGCCUCAGUGUUGGUAAAUACACUCAAAUGCUGAGAAAAUUGAGUGCCUGAAGAGGGCGUGGAAUCUGUGCCACACCCCCUCAAUACCUGCCCUGUAUCACUUCCAUUUUGCUGUUCCUUAGUUGUAGCCUUUAUAAUAAUAAACCAGUAAACCUAAGUAAAGUUUUCCUAAGUUCUGUGAGCCAUCCUUGCAAACUUCCAUACCUCAGGAGGGGGUCCUAAGAACCCCAGAUCUAUAGCUAGUUGAUCAGAAGUACAGGGGGCCUGGGACUUGCCACUGGCAUCUGAUGUGAGGCCAGUCCUUUAAGUUGGGGAAUAUGAUGCUAACUCCAGGUAGAUAAUGUCAUAAUUGAGUUGAACUGCUGGAUAUCCAGGUGGUGUGUCAGAGAACUGGUCGGUGUCAGAGAAAAUACCCCAGAGACAUCCAUGACUCUACCAUGAGAAAGACUUGAUCACUAGGGCCUUAAUAGACAUGGCCUAUAAGUGUUCCAGCAGAGGAAUGCCUUCUUUUCCAGCAUCAAGUUUAUUUUGCUCUUCCUUUGUCGAUGGAAAAAGUUAAAUGCAGCCUCACCCAGAAGCCACAGACCAAUAAAUCAUAAUCUAGCUCUUGAGGGGUAAGGAAAUAGUUUAGUCUGCUUGAGCCACCAUAAUAGAAUGCCAUAGGCUGGGAAGCUUACAACAGAAAAUUAUUUUCUCACAGUCCCAGAGACUGGAAGAUCAAGGGUCCUGCAGGGUUGGUAUCUGGGAAGAGCUAUCUUCUUGGGUUGCAGAUAGCCACCUUCUCACCAUGUCUUCACAUGGCCUUUCCUCUGGUGUCUUUCUCUUCUUAUAAGAACAGUAGUCCUAUUGGAUUAGGACCCAACACUUUUGACCUCAUUUAACCUUAAAUAACUCCCUAAAGGCUGUGUCUCCAAUAAAAUCACACUGUGGUUUAAUGCUUCAACAUAUGAAUUUUGGGAGGAUAGAGUCAGUGUGUUACAGGAAGGAUGCCUCUAUUUGUUUUCUAGAACCAAGCUGCAUCACUCCAUCCAGUUACUAGAACACAGAAUUACAGAAUGUUAGACAUGAAAGGAACAUUAGCUCCUUCACCAUAUGGUGAGGAAAUUGGGCUCCAGAAGGGUGAAGUGGCUUGCUCAUGAAGACAGCUCAUGGUGAGGCUGAGAGUGGAACCCAGACUCUCCUGACAGCAUGGGACAUGGGCACGAUGGCUAGAAUUCCAGCAGGCAUCUAGAAACUAUGAGAUAGAAGUCAGCACUGAAGAGGCAGAGAGGAAAGAAGUCUGACACAACACUGGCAUUGUAGAAUUGCCACUCCUUUUGUGGAAUGCUUAUCCCUGGAUUCUGUUAUCUGAGAGAAAAGAGGACUCGUCUUUGGUUUAAACCAGUGUUUAAACUACAAAUCCUAACUGAUUCAGCACAUUAA
This is a long non-coding RNA of Felis catus (domestic cat), 1509 nucleotides long. RefSeq lists it as uncharacterized. The record is from RefSeq and is a predicted model, not a curated record. The transcript is spliced from 2 exons. NCBI's taxonomy places the organism in Eukaryota, Metazoa, Chordata, Mammalia, Carnivora, Felidae.